AGAGGCAGGAACAGCAGGUUGUUUUUGGAGCAAGGGAAAAUUCACAGAUUAAAAAAGCGAUGAUCCAGUCAAAGCAAAAGAGUAAUAAAUGCCGGAACACAACAAACAAACUAGCAACGAUAAUAUUUUGUUAUCAAAGGAGGACGGCUUGGCCUACAACGAUCGAUUGUGACGUUUGUGCAAAAGCUCCAAGAAACAUCCUGUCACCGACACUGCAUCAUUUACAUCAGUCUCUCGGUUAGUCCAAUGUGCUGUGUCUGUCGUGUUGCUCUAUACCCUAGCCCUAAUCCUGAUCGCUUCAAAUUUCCUAUUUAUUUAUUUUUCUAAACUGGGUAUUCUCCUUUUAUAACACACCUUGGUAUCCCAACACGUAUACACAACUACUGCAACCAAAACGACACCGAAACGA
Long non-coding RNA from Theobroma cacao (cacao), 409 nucleotides. RefSeq lists it as uncharacterized. Lineage: Eukaryota; Viridiplantae; Streptophyta; Magnoliopsida; Malvales; Malvaceae. The record is from RefSeq and is a predicted model, not a curated record.